UGGCUCAGUGGUAGAGCGCUUGCCUUGCAUGUAUGAGGCCCUGGGUUCGAUUCCUCAG
This is a non-coding RNA of Dipodomys ordii (Ord's kangaroo rat), 58 nucleotides long. The record is from Rfam. Lineage: Eukaryota; Metazoa; Chordata; Mammalia; Rodentia; Heteromyidae.